This is a transfer RNA of Beauveria bassiana ARSEF 2860, 112 nucleotides long. It matches the Rfam family "tRNA". From Rfam's summary of the family: Transfer RNA (tRNA) molecules are approximately 80 nucleotides in length. Their secondary structure includes four short double-helical elements and three loops (D, anti-codon, and T loops). NCBI's taxonomy places the organism in Eukaryota, Fungi, Ascomycota, Sordariomycetes, Hypocreales, Cordycipitaceae. The record is from Rfam.
GGCGACAUGGCCGAGUGGUUAUGGCGGUCGGUUCAAGAUUUUGCAUCUUGCCCAUUUGAUGGGUUUUAUUCGACUGACGAGAGUCUCGAGGGUUCGAGUCCCUCUGUCGUCA